Molecule: ribosomal RNA, 447 nt
Filed under: uncultured bacterium
Lineage: Bacteria
Description: bacterial SSU rRNA
Rfam family: Bacterial small subunit ribosomal RNA
Source: RNAcentral
UGGGGAAUAUUGGACAAUGGGCGAAAGCCUGAUCCAGCCAUGCCGCGUGAGUGACGAAGGCCUUAGGGUUGUAAAACUCUUUCGUCGGGGACGAUAAUGACGGUACCCGAAGAAGAAGCUCCGGCUAACUUCGUGCCAGCAGCCGCGGUAAUACGAAGGGAGCUAGCGUUGUUCGGAAUCACUGGGCGUAAGGCGCACGUAGGCGGAUAGUUAAGUCAGGGGUGAAAUCCUGGGGCUCAACCCCAGAACUGCCUUUGAUACUGGCUGUCUCGAGGUCGAGAGAGGUUGGUGGAAUUCCUAGUGUAGAGGUGAAAUUCGUAGAUAUUAGGAAGAACACCAGUGGCGAAGGCGGCCAACUGGCUCGAUACUGACGCUGAGGUGCGAAAGCGUGGGGAGCAAACAGGAUUAGAUACCCCAGUAGUCCCUGAGCGGGCUGGCAAGGCGCAU